Molecule: ribosomal RNA, 253 nt
Filed under: uncultured bacterium
Lineage: Bacteria
Description: partial 16S ribosomal RNA
Rfam family: Bacterial small subunit ribosomal RNA
Source: RNAcentral
UACGGAGGGAGCUAGCGUUGUUCGGAUAUACUGGGCGUAAAGCGCACGUAGGCGGCGUCGUAAGUCAGGGGUGAAAUCCCGGAGCUCAACUCCGGAACUGCCCUUGAAACUGCAAUGCUAGAAUCUUGGAGAGGCGAGUGGAAUUCCGAGUGUAGAGGUGAAAUUCGUAGAUAUUCGGAAGAACACCAGUGGCGAAGGCGGCUCACUGGUCCGGUACUGACGCUGAGGUGCGAAAGCGUGGGGAGCAAACAGG